UACGGAGGAUGCAAGCGUUAUCCGGAAUGAUUGGGCGUAAAGCGUCUGUAGGUCGUUUCCUAAGUCUCCUGUCAAAGAUCAAGGCUUAACCUUGAAAAGGCAGUGGAAACUGGGAGGCUUGAGUACGGUAGAGGCGGAGGGAAUUCCCGGUGUAGCGGUGAAAUGCGUAGAGAUCGGGAAGAACACCAAAGGCGAAAGCACUCUGCGGGGCCGAAAAUGACAAUGAGAGACGAAAGCGAGGGGAGCAAAUGGG
Molecule: ribosomal RNA, 253 nt
Filed under: uncultured bacterium
Lineage: Bacteria
Description: partial 16S ribosomal RNA
Rfam family: Bacterial small subunit ribosomal RNA
Source: RNAcentral